Molecule: ribosomal RNA, 253 nt
Filed under: uncultured bacterium
Lineage: Bacteria
Description: partial 16S ribosomal RNA
Rfam family: Bacterial small subunit ribosomal RNA
Source: RNAcentral
UACAGAGGUGGCAAGCGUUGUUCGGAAUUACUGGGCGUAAAGGGCGCGUAGGCGGCUUGUUCAGUCCCGUGUGAAAUCCCUCGGCUCAACUGAGGAACUGCACGGGAAACUGCCUGGCUUGAGUUCGGGAGAGGGAAGCGGAAUUCCGGGUGUAGCGGUGAAAUGCGUAGAUAUCCGGAGGAACACCGGUGGCGAAGGCGGCUUCCUGGACCGACACUGACGCUGAGGCGCGAAAGCUAGGGGAGCAAACGGG